RNAcentral lists this ribosomal RNA (431 nucleotides) under uncultured bacterium. RNAcentral's name for it is "bacterial SSU rRNA". It matches the Rfam family "Bacterial small subunit ribosomal RNA", at positions 29 to 507 of the family's 1533-position model. The record is from RNAcentral.
AACGAACGCUGGCGGCAGGCCUAACACAUGCAAGUCGAGCGCCCCGCAAGGGGAGCGGCGGACGGGUGAGUAACGCGUGGGAACGUACCCUUUGCUACGGAAUAGCCUCGGGAAACUGGGAGUAAUACCGUAUGUGCCCUUCGGGGGAAAGAUUUAUCGCCCAAGGAUGAGCCCGCGUAGGAUUAGGUAGUUGGUGAGGUAAAGGCUCACCAAGCCGACGAUCCUUAGCUGGUCUGAGAGGAUGAUCAGCCACACUGGGACUGAGACACGGCCCAGACUCCUACGGGAGGCAGCAGUAGGGAAUAUUGGACAAUGGGGGCAACCCUGAUCCAGCAAUGCCGCGUGAGUGAUGAAGGCCUUAGGGUUGUAAAGCUCUUUUACCCGAGAUGAUAAUGACAGUAUCGGGAGAAUAAGCUCCGGCUAACUCCGUG